AGCUCAGUAGGACGGAGCCCCUGUUUUCUAGAUAGUCGCAUCGGUAGGGAGGUCGCGGGUUCGAGUCCCGCCAGCG
Molecule: transfer RNA, 76 nt
Filed under: Gammaproteobacteria bacterium
Lineage: Bacteria; Pseudomonadati; Pseudomonadota; Gammaproteobacteria
Description: tRNA-Arg
Source: RNAcentral